CUUCCUUUCUUCUUCCUCCACACGAUUCUAUACUUCUUAUUUUCUUCUUCUGUACCUCUUCGAUCUCCUCAUCUAAUCUCAUCUCUCUUAUCCUCUUCCCAUCUCUCUUUCUCCUCUGCUCAUCUUUCAUUUACUUUUCUUCUUUCAAGCAAAUGGAUCUGAACGAAGAGGAUUACCACCGUCAUGCUUCUCACCACCAUGCUCCUUUCUAUUCGGUUUCGCCCUUCACCACCACCACCACCGCACGCUCGUCAACACCACCACCAGUCACGAAAGUGGAGGAGGCACAGGAUUGAUGAAUGAGGCACAGGAGAUUGAUGGAGGAGGUAGCAGUGGUGGGUCGCGAGCAGAGCCGGCUUGAAUGUUGAAGACGAAGAAGCUCGGUGAGGAGGCGGCAGGCGGCGGAGAAUAUACAUUAGGUUUAGAUUAGGGUUAGGUAUAUUUUUAAUUUGGUUUAGUAUGCUAAACCGAUUUUAUUUAUUAAUAGUUUGAAUCUUUUUUAUGUUUGUGUUUUGAAAUAUGGGUUCCGCGGAGGAGGCGGAGGGGGCGGAGGGAAGGAGUUAGGGUUUUUUUAGAUUUUGUUUUUAAACCUGGUUUGUAUAUAAACUGGUUUAGUUUGUAAACCGAAAUUUUUUGUAAUCUGGUUUAAUUUAUAAACCGAUUGUAAACCAAAAUUUUAAUAUAAACCAAAAUCAUUUA
Molecule: long non-coding RNA, 699 nt
Organism: Brassica napus (rape)
Lineage: Eukaryota; Viridiplantae; Streptophyta; Magnoliopsida; Brassicales; Brassicaceae
Exons: 2
Source: RefSeq, a predicted model, not a curated record